UUUACUCGAGUUAUCGUGUGCACACAAAUGCGCUCGGUAAAAAAACGAUAAUGAUAGACUUUGAUUUCUUCAAAUAAUUUUCUUUUUAAUGGAAAGUCCUAACAUGGUUCGGAUAUUAAGGAUAUCUGGGCAUUUCGUGCGGUGUCGUUGUUUCAUAAGAUUGCACGUUUGUUAAAUUGAGAGUGAUGCAAAUGCAUAUAUACAUAAAUAUUUGGGAACUUUGUAGGCUUCAUUUGAUACUUUGUUAAGUUUACACAGAGCAAUUGUUAACUUCUAAUUUAUUUAAAGACGCUUAUGUAAAGUAAAUAGUAUAUAUAUACAUACAUACGUAUACAUAUACAGACAAGCACUUGUUAAAUUUUUUUAAUUUAACUUUUAAUUAUACUAAUUCUUAAAAUGAACUAUUCGAAAUUAAGCGAAAGAAAAUGCAAAGGGAAAUGCAAACAAUUAAUAUUUACAAUUUUACGAACGGGUACACAACACAAUAAACUAAAAAGUAUUAUUGAAAAGUAUUUAACAGAUGCAAUUAAGAGCGUUUCAAAAGUAGGAGCCACAAAAAAAAAACAACUAAAUGAAAAAAAAACAAUUUUAAAAAGAAGACAAGCAAUUGCAAACGACGAUAGUAGUAACAAAAACGACAAACGCAAAAACAAGAAAAUAAAAGAAAAUAAUAUUUGCACUUUUUAACAGAGUAAUAGGAAUGCAUAAUAAUCAAACUAAUCAAUAAAGUGAAGAAUAUUAGGUAAAUUGAAUAAGUUUGCCGAAGGCUUACUCUUUAACACAAGUCAGUUUAAUGCAAGUGAAGUAAGCACAAAAAAAGAUGCGACCAAAGCAUGCACACACACACACACACACACACACACAUACACACAAAAUUAAAGCAACUAAAAAAUGCACAUAACAAAUAAAAAAACGUGAAUAAAUGGAAAAGAAGAGAAUCAUAGUUAUUAAUUUAGCCAAGUUACUGUCAACAACCAAAAUAAAAUACUAAUAAAAAUUGAAGCAUAAGCGAAACACACAAAAAUUUACUAAACUUACAUGCUGUUACAAGUAAAUUAUUCAAAACGCGGACAGACAGGUAUGCAAUGAAAAGAUAAUCGUACAAGCAAGCACUAGAUAUUUUGAGAAUUUGAGAACCAUACAUGGAAUCGCUAAGGUCAUUAGAAAAAUGUAAACUAAGAGAAAAUCUAACACAAAAUGCCCCACCACAGCAGCACAAGACCCUCUUCUAAUAAGGAAUUAGACAAAUGAAGAUCAACGCCAUUAUUAGAAUUAGCACAAUUUGUAGUCCCUUUCACCGCACAUCCUUGCAUAAAAAUCACCCUGCAAGUGCUUUGUUCCCGUAAAAUACGCAAAAUACAUUGGAGGCGAUCAGAGUACCAUAAACUUCGCUCAACACCAUAAUCUACGAGAUGUACAAUACGCAUUUCUUCUUUAAAUUCUGACACACACAAAUUGAAGCAAUGUCUCAAGUAAUGAAA
This is a long non-coding RNA of Rhagoletis zephyria (snowberry fruit fly), 1481 nucleotides long. RefSeq lists it as uncharacterized. Lineage: Eukaryota; Metazoa; Arthropoda; Insecta; Diptera; Tephritidae. The record is from RefSeq and is a predicted model, not a curated record.